ACAGCAGUCGCCGCGGGAAAACGAAGGGUGCAAGCGUUACUCGGAAUUACUGGGCGUAAAGCGUGCGUAGGUGGUGGUUUAAGUCCGUUGUGAAAGCCCUGGGCUCAACCUGGGAAUUGCAGUGGAUACUGGGUCACUAGAGUGUGGUAGAGGAUAGUGGAAUUUCCGGUGUAGCAGUGAAAUGCGUAGAGAUCUGGAGGAAUACCGAUGGCGAAGGCAGCCAUCUGGCCUAAUACUGACGCUGAGGUACGAAAGCAUGGGGAGCAAACAGGAUUAGAUACCCGAGUAGUCCCUGUCUCUUAUAC
RNAcentral lists this ribosomal RNA (305 nucleotides) under uncultured bacterium. Its description in RNAcentral is "partial 16S ribosomal RNA". It matches the Rfam family "Bacterial small subunit ribosomal RNA", at positions 508 to 807 of the family's 1533-position model. The record is from RNAcentral.